GGCAGGCCUAACACAUGCAAGUCGAACGGUAACAGGAAACAGCUUGCUGUUUCGCUGACGAGUGGCGGACGGGUGAGUAAUGUCUGGGAAACUGCCUGAUGGAGGGGGAUAACUACUGGAAACGGUAGCUAAUACCGCAUAACGUCGCAAGACCAAAGAGGGGGCCCUCGGGCCUCUUGCCAUCGGAUGUGCCCAGAUGGGAUUAGCUUGUUGGUGGGGUAACGGCUCACCAAGGCGACGAUCCCUAGCUGGUCUGAGAGGAUGACCAGCCACACUGGAACUGAGACACGGUCCAGACUCCUACGGGAGGCAGCAGUGGGGAAUAUUGCACAAUGGGCGCAAGCCUGAUGCAGCCAUGCCGCGUGUAUGAAGAAGGCCUUCGGGUUGUAAAGUACUUUCAGCGGGGAGGAAGGGAGUACAGUUAAUACCUUUGCUCAUUGACGUUACCCGCAGAAGAAGCACCGGCUAACUCCGUGCCAGCAGCCGCGGUAAUACGGAGGGUGCAAGCGUAAAUCGGAAUUACUGGGCGUAAAG
Molecule: ribosomal RNA, 534 nt
Filed under: uncultured Pseudomonadota bacterium
Lineage: Bacteria; Pseudomonadati; Pseudomonadota
Description: bacterial SSU rRNA
Rfam family: Bacterial small subunit ribosomal RNA
Source: RNAcentral